This 492-nucleotide ribosomal RNA is filed under the name uncultured bacterium. RNAcentral's name for it is "partial 16S ribosomal RNA". It matches the Rfam family "Bacterial small subunit ribosomal RNA", at positions 28 to 507 of the family's 1533-position model. The record is from RNAcentral.
GAUGAACGCUAGCUACAGGCUUAACACAUGCAAGUCGAGGGGAAACGGCAUUGAGUGCUUGCACUCUUUGGACGUCGACCGGCGCACGGGUGAGUAACGCGUAUCCAACCUUCCCAUUACUGUGGGAUAACCUGCCGAAAGGCAGACUAAUACCGCAUAGUCUUCGAUGACGGCAUCAGAUUUGAAGUAAAGAUUUAUCGGUAAUGGAUGGGGAUGCGUCUGAUUAGCUUGUUGGCGGGGUAACGGCCCACCAAGGCUACGAUCAGUAGGGGUUCUGAGAGGAAGGUCCCCCACAUUGGAACUGAGACACGGUCCAAACUCCUACGGGAGGCAGCAGUGAGGAAUAUUGGUCAAUGGACGGAAGUCUGAACCAGCCAAGUAGCGUGCAGGAUGACGGCCCUAUGGGUUGUAAACUGCUUUUGUAUGGGGAGAAAGUUAGGGACGUGUCCCUAUUUGCAGGUACCAUACGAAUAAGGACCGGCUAAUUCCGUG